GUCUUGCGGAUGAUGAGAGACAUCAAUAAGAGGGGAUGAACCUCGGUUGGUCCAACUAUACUAUUAUUAUUAUCAUUUUUAUUAUUACUGUUAUUAUCAUAAUUAUUAUUACUAAUAUUCACCUAUACUAUAUUUAUUAUGUCUAUGGGUCGCACAACCCGGACGAAAUAGACCGUCGGACGAAACAUCUGCAAAUGUUUGGAACGACACGGAGGGAAAACACGAGACCGUUUUUUAGAAUUAUUAUUCGUUUUUAUUUCUGUAACGCUUACAGCUGCUAUUGAGAAAUCAUUACUGGAAUCGCGACCAUAGAUUAAUCAGGAUGGAAGAUAAUAUUCCUAAAAGAAAUUCGAGCAAGUCAUCAAGUAAGUUUAUGUAACCACUGUUAGCAUGAAGGCGAUAACUAGCUAAACUUGCUAUUUAUUUAUUUAUUUUUUUGAACUGCAUGAACAGCAAAUACAA
Melanotaenia boesemani (Boeseman's rainbowfish) is the source of this 462-nucleotide long non-coding RNA. RefSeq lists it as uncharacterized. Lineage: Eukaryota; Metazoa; Chordata; Actinopteri; Atheriniformes; Melanotaeniidae. The transcript has 2 exons. The record is from RefSeq and is a predicted model, not a curated record.